RNAcentral lists this non-coding RNA (22 nucleotides) under Arabidopsis thaliana (thale cress). The record is from RNAcentral. Lineage: Eukaryota; Viridiplantae; Streptophyta; Magnoliopsida; Brassicales; Brassicaceae.
UUAAGUAACGUCCUGUCAAACC